GUGAACGCUGGCGGUAGGCCUAACACCUGCAAGUCGAACGGCAGCACAGUAAGAGCUUGCUCUUACGGGUGGCGAGUGGCGGACGGGUGAGGAAUACAUCGGAAUCUACUUUUUCGUGGGGGAUAACGUAGGGAAACUUACGCUAAUACCGCAUACGACCUACGGGUGAAAGCAGGGGAUCUUCGGACCUUGCGCGAUUGAAUGAGCCGAUGUCGGAUUAGCUAGUUGGCGGGGUAAAGGCCCACCAAGGCGACGAUCCGUAGCUGGUCUGAGAGGAUGAUCAGCCACGCUGGAACUGAGACACGGUCCAGACUCCUACGGGAGGCAGCAGUGGGGAAUAUUGGACAAUGGGCGCAAGCCUGAUCCAGCCAUACCGCGUGGGUGAAGAAGGCCUUCGGGUUGUAAAGCCCUUUUGUUGGGAAAGAAAAGCAGCAGGUUAAUACCCCGCUGUUCUGACGGUACCCAAAGAAUAAGCACCGGCUAACUUCGUG
Molecule: ribosomal RNA, 491 nt
Filed under: uncultured bacterium
Lineage: Bacteria
Description: partial 16S ribosomal RNA
Rfam family: Bacterial small subunit ribosomal RNA
Source: RNAcentral